Molecule: non-coding RNA, 21 nt
Filed under: Arabidopsis thaliana (thale cress)
Lineage: Eukaryota; Viridiplantae; Streptophyta; Magnoliopsida; Brassicales; Brassicaceae
Source: RNAcentral
GGGCAAAUAAUUUGCUACCGC